RNAcentral lists this long non-coding RNA (510 nucleotides) under Ananas comosus (pineapple). RNAcentral describes it as "long non-coding RNA (ACOM_LNC001221)". Lineage: Eukaryota; Viridiplantae; Streptophyta; Magnoliopsida; Poales; Bromeliaceae. The record is from RNAcentral.
UCAACUUAUGUAAUUUAUUUUCCUGUAUGUGCUGAUUUUACUCUUUGUUCCACUGUACUCCAAAAAUAGGGUAAAUACCUGUUUAAUAAAAAAAAAAAAUCCAAUCUUAAUUAUUUAAGGAAACUAUUCUUAUAAGUAAUUAGGUUUUACAUUUUCAGUAAGUAGUUUAUAAAAUAUUCCUAUAAGUAACUUAAAAUUUUGGAAAAAUAAAAUUUUAAAAAUAUCUGUAAAUAAUAAUUUACAGAUAUUUUUAAAAAAACUAUCUCUACAAAUUAAUCUUAUUUAAAAAAACUAUCUCAACAAAUAAUUAGUUUUUUAAAUUUAAAAUUUUUCUAUGCAAUAGAUUAUUUCUCCUAACUUUAAUUUAUUAUUUUCUAAAAUAAAAGUUUCUUAAAUAUCCGUGUACAAUUAAUGCACUGAUUAACAACUAGUUUAUUUAACAAACAACCAGUACAAGAAUAUAUAAAGCUAAAAAAUCACCAACCCACCACUUUUAUUUUUAAAAUGCAU